Long non-coding RNA from Dendronephthya gigantea, 360 nucleotides. RefSeq lists it as uncharacterized. The transcript is spliced from 3 exons. The record is from RefSeq and is a predicted model, not a curated record. Lineage: Eukaryota; Metazoa; Cnidaria; Anthozoa; Malacalcyonacea; Nephtheidae.
UAAACACCUCACAAAUUUUCGUGAAGAACAAUGCAAGUUGUUCAUCAUCGAAUGCGGCAACAACGACAACGCAAACAUAUGCAUCUCAAAGCACACGAAAGCGUAAACGGACUGAGAGAAAACCGUGGGAAACAGAAGAGAAAAAUGCGGUGUUUGAGGUGUUUUCCAAACAUAUACGGGAAAAAACACACUUCAGAAGAAGGACGAAUGUGUUCAGUUCUUAGAGAGGAACAAAGACACUAUCAAGGAGCGUGAGUGAACGCAUGUCAAAGACUUUGUUCGUAUGUGCUGGCUAAGAGGCGAAAAAAAGUUGUCUUCGCGCUGAGAUCUUUAUUUGAUGUGGAGAGUUAUAGCCUUUCU